UUCCGUAGGGGUGACCUGCGGAAGGAUCAUUACCGAGUGCGGGCCCUCUGGGUCCAACCUCCCAUCCGUGUCUAUCUGUACCCUGUUGCUUCGGCGUGGCCACGGCCCGCCGAAGACUAACAUUUGAACACUGUCUGAAGUUUGCAGUCUGAGUUUUUAGUUAAACAAUAAUUAAAACUUUCAACAACGGAUCUCUUGGUUCCGGCAUCGAUGAAGAACGCAGCGAAAUGCGAUAAUUAAUGUGAAUUGCAGAAUUCAGUGAAUCAUCGAGUCUUUGAACGCACAUUGCGCCCCCUGGUAUUCCGGGGGGCAUGCCUGUCCGAGCGUCAUUGCUGCCCUCAAGCACGGCUUGUGUGUUGGGCUUCCGUCCCUGGUAACGGGGACGGGCCCAAAAGGCAGUGGCGGCACCAUGUCUGGUCCUCGAGCGUAUGGGGCUUUGUCACCCGCUCCCGUAGGUCCAGCUGGCAGCUAGCCUCGCAACCAAUCUUUUUAACCAGGUUGACCUCGGAUCAGGUAGGGAUACCCGCUGAACUUAAGCAUAUCAUUAACCGGAGGAA
Molecule: ribosomal RNA, 557 nt
Filed under: Eurotium sp.
Lineage: Eukaryota; Fungi; Ascomycota; Eurotiomycetes; Eurotiales; Aspergillaceae
Description: eukaryotic LSU rRNA
Rfam family: 5.8S ribosomal RNA (bases 176-329)
Source: RNAcentral